GGAUUAGUGGUCUAGUGGUAUGACACAGCUCUUUCAUGGUUGUUAGCAUGGGUUCGAAUCCCGUUUAGUCCG
RNAcentral lists this transfer RNA (72 nucleotides) under Candidatus Atribacteria bacterium. RNAcentral describes it as "tRNA-Glu". It matches the Rfam family "tRNA". From Rfam's summary of the family: Transfer RNA (tRNA) molecules are approximately 80 nucleotides in length. Their secondary structure includes four short double-helical elements and three loops (D, anti-codon, and T loops). Lineage: Bacteria; Pseudomonadati; Atribacterota; Atribacteria. The record is from RNAcentral.